Molecule: ribosomal RNA, 480 nt
Filed under: uncultured bacterium
Lineage: Bacteria
Description: bacterial SSU rRNA
Rfam family: Bacterial small subunit ribosomal RNA
Source: RNAcentral
AAUCAACGCUGGCGGCGUGCCUCAGACAUGCAAGUCGAACGAUUAAAGCUCUCUUCGGAGAGUGUAUAGAGUGGCGCACGGGUGAGUAACACGUAAGUAAUCUACCCUCGAGUGGGGAAUAACAACCGGAAACGGUUGCUAAUACCGCAUAAUGCAGCGGCACCGCAAGGUGACAGUUGUUAAAGAUUUAUCGCUUGAGGAGGAGCUUGCGGCAGAUUAGCUAGUUGGUAGGGUAACGGCUUACCAAGGCUACGAUCUGUAACCGGUCUAAGAGGACGGUCGGUCACACUGACACUGAAUAACGGGUCAGACUCCUACGGGAGGCAGCAGUCGGGAAUUUGGGCAAUGGGCGAAAGCCUGACCCAGCAACGCCGCGUGAAGGAUGAAGUAUUUCGGUAUGUAAACUUCGAAAGAAUAGGAAGAAUUAAUGACGGUACUAUUAUAAGGUCCGGCUAACUACGUGCCAGCAGCCGCGGUAAU